CUAAGGAUGGUUCUUCAGAAGCUUGCUUCUAUCGAACCGUUUUAGAAACAUCAGUGGCCAACGGUCGUCAGGAUCGUUGAGCUGCAUUGGCGGGAUUUCGCCGUCUUCGUUUCUCUUUCUUCGCGGACGAACACGCGCUGGGGCUGCAACCUUGCAGAAUCCCUGGUCCUUGACUGGAUAUGCGUUAGGGGCUUGUAGCUCAGUUGGUUAGAGCGCGCGCUUGAUAAGCGUGAGGUCGGAAGUUCAAGUCUUCCCAGGCCCACCACACUCAUCGAGUGAGCAUUCGUCUUCUGGUUACGGGGCCAUAGCUCAGCUGGGAGAGCGCGUGCUUUGCAAGCAUGAGGUCGUCGGUUCGAUCCCGUCUGGCUCCACCAGAUGGUUUGAUCACCGACUAUUCGUACCGUCGUCCGCGAAACAUCACUUCGCACUUACUAGUCCGGAUGGACAGUAAGCUGCGUGAUUUCUGACAUCGUAAAGAGGAGAUCGAUCCGAGUUGGAUCGGGCAACAAGUAAUUGUUGCGCGAUACUUCAUUAUCUCCGGAUCAUUUCGGCGCUCGUGCGUCUUCCAGGGUAGCUCACAAGGCUGCGUCUGAAGGACACGCGAGUUGUAAAUGAUCCUUUUAGCGAAGCUUGACCGCCUCGCUAUCGGAACGAUCUUACGAAGCAAGCUGGUCUUUCUAAUCAUUGUCCGGCUGCAGAUAGCGUUCAUCGAGGGCGCGUGCCUUAGAGACUUAGGUUUCUUGGCAAUUCUGCAGACAACAUUCUGCCGAGUGUGUGGACAUUGAUAAUGAGAGC
This 795-nucleotide transfer RNA is filed under the name Bradyrhizobium japonicum. Its description in RNAcentral is "16S-23S ribosomal RNA intergenic spacer". The stretch from base 189 to 262 matches the Rfam family "tRNA". RNAcentral also lists the same sequence under 1 other name. Lineage: Bacteria; Pseudomonadati; Pseudomonadota; Alphaproteobacteria; Hyphomicrobiales; Nitrobacteraceae. The record is from RNAcentral.